AUUGAACGCUGGCGGCAUGCCUUACACAUGCAAGUCGAACGGCAGCGCGGGAGCAAUCCUGGCGGCGAGUGGCGAACGGGUGAGUAAUAUAUCGGAACGUGCCCAGUAGUGGGGGAUAGCCCGGCGAAAGCCGGAUUAAUACCGCAUACGACCUGAGGGUGAAAGCGGGGGAUCGCAAGACCUCGCGCUACUGGAGCGGCCGAUAUCAGAUUAGCUAGUUGGUGGGGUAAAGGCCUACCAAGGCAACGAUCUGUAGUUGGUCUGAGAGGACGACCAGCCACACUGGGACUGAGACACGGCCCAGACUCCUACGGGAGGCAGCAGUGGGGAAUUUUGGACAAUGGGCGCAAGCCUGAUCCAGCAAUGCCGCGUGCAGGAAGAAGGCCUUCGGGUUGUAAACUGCUCUUGUCGGGGAAGAAAUCUUCUGGGCUAAUACCCCGGGAGGAUGACGGUACCUGAAGAAUAAGCACCGGCUAACUACGUGCCAGCAGCCGCGGUAAUACGUAGGGUGCGAGCGUUAAUCGGAAUUACUGGGCGUAAAGCGUGCGCAGGCGGCUUUGCAAGACAGAGGUGAAAUCCCCGGGCUCAACCUGGGAACUGCCUUUGUGACUGCAAGGCUAGAGUACGGCAGAGGGGGAUGGAAUUCCGCGUGUAGCAGUGAAAUGCGUAGAUAUGCGGAGGAACACCGAUGGCGAAGGC
RNAcentral lists this ribosomal RNA (699 nucleotides) under uncultured Aquabacterium sp. Its description in RNAcentral is "bacterial SSU rRNA". It matches the Rfam family "Bacterial small subunit ribosomal RNA", at positions 28 to 722 of the family's 1533-position model. Lineage: Bacteria; Pseudomonadati; Pseudomonadota; Betaproteobacteria; Burkholderiales; Sphaerotilaceae. The record is from RNAcentral.